AUUGAACGCUGGCGGCAGGCCUAACACAUGCAAGUCGAGCGGAGCGGCGGACGGGUGAGUAAUACCUAGGAAUCUGCCUGGUAGUGGGGGAUAACGUCCGGAAACGGGCGCUAAUACCGCAUACUAUCAGAUGAGCCUAGGUCGGAUUAGCUAGUGGGUGUGGUAAAGGCCUACCGAGGCGACGAUCCGUAACUGGUCUGCUAGGAUGAUCAGUCACACUGUACCUUGGACACGGUCCAGACUCCUACGGGAUGCAGCAGUGGGGAAUAUUGGGCAAUGGGCGAAAGCCUGAACCAGUCAUGCCUCGUGUGUGAAGAAGGGCUUGGGAUUGUAAAGCACUUUAAGUUGGGAGGCGUUACCAACAGAAUAAGCACCGGCUAACUUCGUGCCAGCAGCCGCGGUAAUAC
RNAcentral lists this ribosomal RNA (407 nucleotides) under uncultured bacterium. RNAcentral's name for it is "partial 16S ribosomal RNA". It matches the Rfam family "Bacterial small subunit ribosomal RNA", at positions 30 to 526 of the family's 1533-position model. The record is from RNAcentral.